Long non-coding RNA from Felis catus (domestic cat), 1309 nucleotides. RefSeq lists it as uncharacterized. The transcript has 4 exons. Lineage: Eukaryota; Metazoa; Chordata; Mammalia; Carnivora; Felidae. The record is from RefSeq and is a predicted model, not a curated record.
GUACGUCACAGGUUCUGCCCGCGCUCAAGGGGAGGGAUUCCUCGGAGGCAUGAAUACCUGGUGGCAAGAUUCAUGGGGCCAUUUAGAGUCUGUCCACCACGGAGGUCAGUAAACGUCAGUGAACUCAGAGAAAGGCAUCACCAAAACACGUACUGAUUUUGAGGGAAGAGAUACCAGAGGAGUCAUCCUGUUAGGUGCUAAGGGUGCGCGCUGCAGGGCGGUCCAGGAAACACACAGUAAAAAUGCCAUGGGCCCUCCGGCCCCACCCCACACAGCUCUCCAGGAGAUUCCAGCACUCGGAACACACAGAGAAACAUCGGAAGAUCUCCCAGGGAGAUGUCUAGAUUAGAUUUGAAGGAAGCACAGGAUUUACAGGAUACAGGACGGCUGCCCUACUGUUACCCCUCCCCGAGGCCACCCCUCCUCCAGCCGGGAUUGCCCUGCUCCGAGCCCCUUCUCCCAGGCUGCUGUGCCACAGCACCCGCUUUGGAAAGGUUCUCGAGCCCAGGUCUCCCUUCCUGAACUUCAGACGAGAUCGGGCGCGUUCAGGGUGGUAUGGCCGUAGACUCCCUUCCUGAACUUCAGAUGUCCAAGCUCCUGUUUUGUUUUGUUCCUCAUGGGGAAGGAAAGACAGGGUGACUCCCGGAGGAGAGAGAAGAGGGAGAAGUGGAGAGGGGUGAGAAUAAUAAACCUGCACAUCUGUAAAGCCCAGGCCACUUGGCAAAAGGAUUUUAUCCACAUUAUUUUAGAGAGGAGAAGAGGCAUUCCUACCUUGGGGCACUGAAACUACAGGGCAGGGUGAUUCCCCCGUGCGGGCCUGCCCAGGCAGCCCCACCGGCCGGGCGCAGGAAGGAGCCUGCAGAAGCUGUCUGCUGCGGGUCGGAUCGUGGGGACGCUCUGCUCUGGGGAGGCUGCAAGGGUCCCGAGCCCCAGGCCUCCCUCCACUCCUCAGCCUCCCACCUCAGCAACCAGAUAACACCCAGACAGAUGCAAGGCUGCAGUGUGAUUCCCAAGCCAGGAGACUGAGGGUCUGAAGUCCCGGCUUCUGCUGGGCCAUGGGAAGCUUCUUGAAUGGAAAUCCCGGAGCCAGCCCCGAUAGGCACAGAGCAACGGGGAAAUGGCUCGGCCUGCCCACAUUUUUCUAGCCUGCGCCUCACGCCCCGCCUGAGCCGCAAGCAGACCGAUCUUUCUUUUUUUUUAAUUGUGGUAAAAUACACGUAACAUAAAAUUUACUACUUGAACCAUUUUUACGUAUCCGAUUCAGUGGCAUUAAGUACAUUCAUAGUAUCGAACAACCCUCACUGCCAUC